This 105-nucleotide non-coding RNA is filed under the name Mico argentatus (silvery marmoset). RNAcentral describes it as "Callithrix argentata (Silvery marmoset) Mitochondrial DNA control region secondary structure A". It matches the Rfam family "Mitochondrial DNA control region secondary structure A". Lineage: Eukaryota; Metazoa; Chordata; Mammalia; Primates; Cebidae. The record is from Rfam by way of RNAcentral.
CUCUAUUAUUGGUGGACUAGCAAUAAAGUACUUUGCAAGUACAUGCAACACUUCAAACUUCUAUGUAAUUAGUGCAUUAUUGUUCAACCCCAUGAAUAAUAUAUA